CGGGGUGGCGAAAUGGGUAAACGCGACGGACUUAAAAUCCGUUGUCCCGAAAGGGAUUUGUGGGUUCGAUCCCCACCCCCGG
This 82-nucleotide transfer RNA is filed under the name marine eukaryotic metagenome. It matches the Rfam family "tRNA". Rfam says of the family: Transfer RNA (tRNA) molecules are approximately 80 nucleotides in length. Their secondary structure includes four short double-helical elements and three loops (D, anti-codon, and T loops). Further hydrogen bonds mediate the characteristic L-shaped molecular structure. tRNAs have two regions of fundamental functional importance: the anti-codon, which is responsible for specific mRNA codon recognition, and the 3' end, to which the tRNAs corresponding amino acid is attached (by aminoacyl-tRNA synthetases). tRNAs cope with the degeneracy of the genetic code in two manners: having more than one tRNA (with a specific anti-codon) for a particular amino acid; and 'wobble' base-pairing, i.e. permitting non-standard base-pairing at the 3rd anti-codon position. The record is from RNAcentral.